AUUGAACGCUGGCGGCAUGCCUUACACAUGCAAGUCGAACGGCAGCACGGGAGCAAUCCUGGUGGCGAGUGGCGAACGGGUGAGUAAUAUAUCGGAACGUGCCCAGUCGUGGGGAUAACGUAGCGAAAGCUACGCUAAUACCGCAUACGAUCUAUGGAUGAAAGCGGGGGAUCGCAAGACCUCGCGCGAUUGGAGCGGCCGAUAUCAGAUUAGGUAGUUGGUGAGGUAAAGGCUCACCAAGCCGACGAUCUGUAGCUGGUCUGAGAGGACGACCAGCCACACUGGGACUGAGACACGGCCCAGACUCCUACGGGAGGCAGCAGUGGGGAAUAUUGGGACAAUGGGCGAAAGCCUGAUCCAGCAAUGCCGCGUGAGUGAUGAAGGCCUUAGGGUUGUAAGCUCUUUUACCCGAGAUGAUAAUGACAGUAUCGGGAGAAUAAGCUCCGGCUAACUCCGUGCCAGCAGCCGACGG
Molecule: ribosomal RNA, 472 nt
Filed under: uncultured bacterium
Lineage: Bacteria
Description: bacterial SSU rRNA
Rfam family: Bacterial small subunit ribosomal RNA
Source: RNAcentral